GACGAACGCUGGCGGCGUGCUUAACACAUGCAAGUCGAACGGAAAGGCCCUGCUUUUGUGGGGUGCUCGAGUGGCGAACGGGUGAGUAACACGUGAGUAACCUGCCCUUGACUUUGGGAUAACUUCAGGAAACUGGGGCUAAUACCGGAUAGGAGCUCCUGCUGCAUGGUGGGGGUUGGAAAGUUUCGGCGGGUGGGGAUGGACUCGCGGCUUAUCAGCUUGUUGGUGGGGUAGUGGCUUACCAAGGCUUUGACGGGUAGCCGGCCUGAGAGGGUGACCGGCCACAUUGGGACUGAGAUACGGCCCAGACUCCUACGGGAGGCAGCAGUGGGGAAUAUUGCACAAUGGGCGGAAGCCUGAUGCAGCAACGCCGCGUGCGGGAUGAAGGCCUUCGGGUUGUAAACCGCUUUCGCCUGUGACGAAGCGUGAGUGACGGUAAUGGGUAAAGAAGCACCGGCUAACUACGUG
Molecule: ribosomal RNA, 468 nt
Filed under: uncultured bacterium
Lineage: Bacteria
Description: partial 16S ribosomal RNA
Rfam family: Bacterial small subunit ribosomal RNA
Source: RNAcentral